This 191-nucleotide unclassified non-coding RNA is filed under the name uncultured Rozellomycota. RNAcentral describes it as "uncultured Cryptomycota sequence contains ITS1". The record is from RNAcentral. Lineage: Eukaryota; Fungi; Rozellomycota.
ACAAAUCUAUUUGAGUGCUGCAGUCCUAGUGGCUGCAUGCACACAUAAGCCCUAAAGCGUAGCACUUCGGUGUGACCGCUUUAGUGUGUGUGGAGGAUUCGGAUCUUUUCGAUUCCUUCAUAGGUCUUCCUUCUGGAUGACCACAUUGACGCUUGUUUGUUUGACAGAGUUAUUAUGACAACAAAAAUAGA